GAAUUCAAAAUCUGGCUCCAGAUUUCCUUGUGAACCAGUCUGCUCCUCCGCAUCUCUAGAAAGGGACAGAUUUUGCCUCGUUAAAGGAUGGAUGAUUAGACUGGUGUAAAAGUCUCUGGGAUGUGACAUAAAUGCUGUUCUCCUGUGCUGUAAAUGAUACCUGAGGCUUGACAUCUAUGCAGUCUCCAAAGACAGAAUCUAAAAAGUAAAACCUACAAGCUCAGGUAAGCUCAGGUGAACUCAGCUGCUAAUAUGCAGAAAUAAGCUGGUUUUACCAUAAUUUUAU
This 286-nucleotide long non-coding RNA is filed under the name Calidris pygmaea (Spoon-billed sandpiper). RNAcentral describes it as "lncRNA (ENSCPGG00000008672.1)". Lineage: Eukaryota; Metazoa; Chordata; Aves; Charadriiformes; Scolopacidae. The record is from RNAcentral.